RNAcentral lists this small RNA (707 nucleotides) under Vigna angularis var. angularis. Its description in RNAcentral is "Non-protein coding transcript". Lineage: Eukaryota; Viridiplantae; Streptophyta; Magnoliopsida; Fabales; Fabaceae. The record is from RNAcentral.
UGAGGUGGUUGGGUAAAGCUCUUGUUCCCGUUUGAAGUUGCUCGUGUUUCUCAUUCACUAGAGCAUUUCUCAGCGUCGUUUUCCUCACUUUCAGUGGCUCGAGAGCUAAUCCUUCACUAUCACAGAGCAUCUUCCUCACUUUCAGGUCAGGGUUUCUCCCUCAUUUCCUCAUUUCCUCAUCUUCCACCGAUUAUAAUCUCAUUCUACCAAUUAUAAUCCCUUUCCACCAUUUAAAACCCCUUUUCCACCGAUCAAUCGGUCCAUUCUAGGGUUCCUUCACGAUUUUGCAUCGAUUAAACAAGUUCUCUUGAGGGUCUGAGGCAAACAUUUUGUAUUUUAGUUUCUUUUUGCCGCUUCAAUUUACGGUUAGAAGGUGGUCGUGAGCGUGUGCUACCAGGGAACAACUCUUACAACUCAGAGAGAGAAAAAUGCGAAUUCUCCAUCAAGUUGUAGUGGAAUUUGUUUCCUUGUGACAUCUUGAAUUUUGAGGAUAAAAUUUUCAUACAUAUCCUACAGUAGGAUAUGGAAGUAACAUCAUUCAUUGAUUGAAGAGGAAUAAAAAUAUUGUAUAGUUACCUUCAUUCGUGACCAUUCUUGCUUGAAUUCUGGCGAGUGUUCACUGUCGAUGGUGGCAACACUGGAGAAGUAGCUGAAGGGUGCUCUCAGUUGAAUUUUGUACUUCUUACAGAAGGGUACCCAAAACUGAG